RNAcentral lists this long non-coding RNA (450 nucleotides) under Mytilus galloprovincialis (Mediterranean mussel). The record is from RNAcentral. Lineage: Eukaryota; Metazoa; Mollusca; Bivalvia; Mytilida; Mytilidae.
AGCGGCGUGUACCUACAUUUUCGGUAUUAGUUUUAAAAUAUCAUUGGUUUCCUGUGCUGCAAUAAAAUGUCAUGGAUGAUGAAUGAUAAUAAAAAUGAUAAUUGACAUGCAUGAUAUUAGUAACACCAAAAGGGUCAGUCGUCUUGAGAUUGCUCACUUUACAUUAUUUUGUUGAAGAUCUCAAAGAAACAGUAAUUUGUUUUAUUUCUUAUGAUGUUAUUAGACUGUUAUCCUGUUAGAAUCAAAUGCACUAAUAUUAAUGGCGUAGAAGUUAGCAUGCGGGAGAAACAGAAAUUGGAGCAUCGAAAUUCCACAUUACGUUUCUUAUUACGGAAAAUUACACGCAUUACGUCCCGCAAAAAGUGACGUUUUGCGGGAAUUCAAACGCUUAACGUCGCGCCAAGAGUUAACUCCCUUGAAACUGUAUCGGAUGCCCUUAAGUGCAUCGGA